AGGACGAACGCUGGCGGCGUGCUUAACACAUGCAAGUCGAGCGACGCUCCUCCUUCGGGAGGAUGACGGAGCGGCGAACGGGUGAGUAACACGUGGGCAACCUGCCCCUAGCUCUGGGAUAAGCCCGGGAAACCGGGUCUAAUACCGGAUACGAGACUGAGAGGCAUCUCUUGGUCUGGAAAGUUUUUCGGCUAGGGAUGGGCCCGCGGCCUAUCAGCUUGUUGGUGGGGUAAUGGCCUACCAAGGCGACGACGGGUAGCCGGCCUGAGAGGGCGACCGGCCACACUGGGACUGAGACACGGCCCAGACUCCUACGGGAGGCAGCAGUGGGGAAUAUUGCACAAUGGGCGAAAGCCUGAUGCAGCGACGCCGCGUGAGGGAUGACUGCCUUCGGGUUGUAAACCUCUUUCAGCCCUGACGAAGCGAAAGUGACGGUAGGGCAGAAGAAGCACCGGCCAACUACGCGCCAGCAGCCGCGGUAA
Molecule: ribosomal RNA, 482 nt
Filed under: uncultured bacterium
Lineage: Bacteria
Description: SSU rRNA
Rfam family: Bacterial small subunit ribosomal RNA
Source: RNAcentral